UUCUACCCAUAUUCUACCAAAAGAAAAAGUAUUUCAUACAAAUACACGUGCUAAAUCAAAUUUGUAGCUGAGAAAAAAAGUAAAAUUAGGAAAAAGAAACUUACUUGCGAAGAAUCUAUUAAGUAAUAGAGAAAAUCAAGUAGUAUAAAAGAGGAAAUAGCUUUUGUCUAAAGAAUUGAGAAAAUCUGUUUAGUAGGAAGGAGAAAAACAAGAGGAAAAUAAAAAUAAAAAUAAAAGGAGGAAGGAG
RNAcentral lists this long non-coding RNA (247 nucleotides) under Gossypium raimondii (Peruvian cotton). RNAcentral's name for it is "long non-coding RNA (GRAI_LNC005334)". Lineage: Eukaryota; Viridiplantae; Streptophyta; Magnoliopsida; Malvales; Malvaceae. The record is from RNAcentral.